GCGAUCACACGAUCGAGAGAGAGGAAGAUCCAAUAAAACAUGUAGUAGAUGAGUUACGGUGUGACAGGGGUCGGCAGAGAAAACAGGACACCAGAGGCAGAGGAGGAGAAGUAGCAGAGGUUAAACUCUCGGGGGAAGAGGACAGGUUGCAUUAUCUGCCUCCUUCACCCUCUCCUUCACCCUCAGACUCUUUCUCCCCCUCUCUUGCUGAGAUGAGCCGGAUUUAUAACCUGAAAACAGUGGGGUCCAGGACGGCGGUGUGCAUGAGUGAGAGGACCGUGGAUAGGCCUAUCCCUAUACAUACACCCAACGUACAGUCCCGCAUAUCAGCAGAACAACAGGAGCCAAGCAGUCUGGAGAGAUCCGUUGGGAUGCUGACACAGAAGCAGCUGUGGGGUGGUGGUGGGGCAUCUGGAAAUAAGGCCUCUUGUGAUGAGAAUUCCGGACUUCAGAAAAUACAGCGUCAGGUGGAACAGCUUCAGUUGCGAGAACAACAGGAAGUACAGAGACUAUCACACGACGACAACGCAGCACAGUCGACUUUUAGUAAAAAAACUAAUUUGAAAGCUAAAGCGUCUGAAGCUCAGCAAAGCACAAGGAUAUCACACAACCAGCCCAAUAAGGAACCUCAACAGAUGCAUCCGAGGCAAAAGGACCAGCAAACACCUCUAAAUCCCAGAAAAUGUCAGUCUAAUCCGCAGUUGCACUCUGAAAGGCCUCCUCAAUCCAAUCGUGCCCGAUCCAUUACCAUCAACUCCAGAUCUCUCCUGACCCCCUCUCCUGAGAACUCAUUACACCCAGACCAGGGAGUCCCACCCAGCACAUCAUCCUCCCCAUGUUCACCCUCCCCACCCCAGUCCCCCUCCGUCUCUCCCUCUCCUUCGCCUUCUCCGAUCCAUUUCACCAUCAGAACAGGCUCUGGAGGCCAGCAGGCCAAGAGGGGCACCACCAUCACCAUCACCCCAAGGAAGCCUGUUGGAGGGGCAGCCGUGGAAUCGGUUUCAGUAUCCUCAGGACCCUCAGUCAAGACGUCUACCAAGUCCCAGAUGCCUGUCCUAACCGAGAUAGUAGAGAGAGGCAAGAAGAGAUACCCCACUACGGAGGAGAUCGAAGUGAUCGGCGGAUAUCAGAACCUGGAUAAGUCUUGCCUGGUCAAGACUCCCAAAGGGACUCCCAAAGGGGAGAAGGUGUGUUUCGACGAGACCCAGCUGGAGCAGCGGCUGGCCUGAGAGUGCUGAGAAUAGAUGAGUCUUGCCAUCGGUAGAUGUCAGCUCGCCAAAUAGCCCAAGUGAUGUUUCAUAUUAGAUUUUUGUUUCCUGUAUUUUGUUUAUUUAAAAUGAUAUAAUUAAUGUUGGUAAUCUUUUUUGAUGUUCAAUGUUUUAUUUUACUUAGGGUCAGGGACUAUUGGUUUUGAAUUUUAAAAAUGAUGGUUUUGAGCAGUUUAUGAGUUGAAUGAUGGCGCAUGUAGCGGAACCUGACUGGACUUUUUAUUUUACUUCUCUAUUUCAAGGUAGAAGUGCAAAGGAAAUAUGAAAGCACAGUACAUUUUGUAGCCUAUAAGUUUGAAUAUAUAAAAGUGUAUUUUUACCAUCAGGUGUGUACUGUUGGGUGAUGAUCACAUGUCAAUGCAAGUUAGUGGAUUACUACAAAAGUAUUGUAAAAGGGUCCGGUCAGUUUAGUUUUAUUUAGCUUAGUUCAACAACACAAUGGCCCUACUGUAUAUAAACGUUGCAUCAGCACUGUAACGAUUCAGGCUGCAUUCCCUCUAGGGCACUACUUUUGACCGGAGCCCUAUGGGCCCUGGUCAAAAGUAGUGCACUAUAAAGGGAUUAGGAUGUCAUUUUGGAUGUAUUCUCAGUGACGCUUAUAUCAUCUGGUCCCUGUGCCUGCUUGAUUUGCUCAUACAGAUGAUAUAAAGAUUAGGUGAUCCACAAGUCCAAGAUACAUUUUGAGUCUUGUGAACAUCCCUCAUCUGUACAGUGCCUUCAGAAAGUAUUCAUACACCUGGACUUAUGCCACAUUCCGUUGUGCUAAAGCCUGAAUUCAAAAUUGAUUAAAUAUAUUUUAUUUCUCACCCAUCUACACACAAUAGCCCACAAUGAUAAAGUGAAAACAUAUUUUUUUUAUUUUUAAAUUUGACGUCUAAUUUACACGUAUUCAUUCACACCCCAGAGACAAUACAUCCAGCUCUUUCAAGUUGGUUGUUAAUCAUUGCUAGAAAGUCAUUUUCAAGUCCUGCCAUAGAUCUUCAACCCUAUUUAAGUCAAAACUGUAUCUAGGCCAUUCAGGAACAUUCAAUGCCGUCUUGGUAAGCAACUCCAGUGUAUAUUUGGCCUUGUGUUUUAGGUUAUUGAUUCAGAGGGAAUGGGUUAAAUGCAGAAGACGCAUUUUCGGUUGAAUGCAUUCAGUUAUGUAGAUAUCCCCUUUCCCUUAUUGUCCUGCUGAAAGGUGAAUUUGUCUCCCAGUGUCUGUUUGAAAGCAGACUGAACCAGGUUUUCUUCUAGGAUGUUGGUUGUGCUUAGGUCUAUUCCGUUUAAUUAUUAUUAUUAUUUUUAAACUCCUUAGUCCUUGCCAAUGACAACCAUAUCCAUAACAUGAUGCAGCCACCACCAUGCUUGAAAAUAUGAAGAGUGGUACUCAGUGAUGUGUGGUGCCUUAUGGCAAACAGGAUUGCAUGUUUUGGGAUAUCUUUAUUCUGUAUAGGCUUCCUUCUUUUAACCUUUAUUUAACUAGGCAACAGUUCACUCUGUCAUUUAGGUUAAUAUUGUGGAGUAACUACAAUGUUGUUGAUCCAUUCUCCGUUUUCUCUUAUCACAGCCAUUCAACUCUGUAACUGUUUUAAAGUCAGCAUUGGUCUCAUGGUGAAAUCCCUGAGCAGUAUUUUCUAUUAAAUUGUAAAAAAAUAAUAAUAAUAAAUUACAAACAUAAUUCCAAUUUGACAUGAAAUGGGGUAUUUUGUGUAGGCCAGUGACACAAGAUCUCAAUUUUAAAUGCAGGCUAUAACACAACAAAAUGUGGAAAAAGUUGAAGGGUGUAAAUACUUUCUGAAGGCACAGUAGUUUCUGGCAAACCAUGGCUAUAUGUAACAUGAUGACAAUUCACUUUUGUUCAAUUACGGUUUCUGUUUCAACCACAAACUGGAUUUAAGUGAGACUUAAUGCACAUGAUUGAAAAACCUGAGGAUACAUUAUGUAAUGAUCACCAUUACAAGUUUUGAUUUUUAACCACUAGUGGAAUUAAUGUGGUAGGAUGAAAAACAGUAGUCUAUGUACUGUAUCUAUAGUACUUUGACUGUAUAGUUUUGAAUGGAAAAGGUAUUAUGUUUGGGUCUCUGGUGUUAUUAUGUAAGACUACAGCACAUGUGUGAUGUGGGUGAAAAACAAGGACCAUGAUUUUCAGACAUUUAAUAUAUAGAAUGGUCCUUUGGAGUAUGGAUUGUUAACGUAUAUUUGACAUUUGUAUAUAAAUGCAUAAUUGACCAAUAAUUAAUCAAAGUUGACGGUUUGGCCUUACCCAGGUCUCCUUUAAGACUCCCUAAUGUUUUAUCUGUAGGUGCUACAAAGAAAACAUUGGUGUCAUAGGAAGCUUCACCGCUUGCUUUGUAAUAUGAGAAGCAUUUUGUUUUCAAUAACAAUAUUCUUAUUAAUUUAUGAAUAUUGAAAAAAAAAAAUUGAUUUAGCAAACUGUUGAACGUAAUAUUGUUGAACGUAAUAUACUCUACGGACAUAUCAAAGUUCUAGAGUGGGAUCUCUGCUAUUUUUAGAGUUAUGAUCCAAUUUGUAACAGAGUGAAAGUGAAAAUGGAUUCAAAAUGGUCACCCUCUUCUGGUGAUUUGCCGGAUGUACAAUACAUGAAAAUAUUAGCCAAAUUCAAAUGGUAUAUUUCAAUAUUUAUGUUUAUAUUUUUCAAUAUUCAUUAAUUAAUAGGAAAAUUGUUAUUGAAAUCAAAAUGCAUCUCAUGUUGCAGAGCAAGCAGCAACGCUUCAUAUUACACCAAGUUUUGCUUUAUGGAGUCUUAAAGGAGGGUUAUAUGGCAACUUGUAUUAUUUCUCAAUUAAGCUUUUAGAUACAAAUGUCAACAAUACUUCCUCCAAAAGGACCAUUCUAUGGAUUAAAUGAAGUGAAAAUCCCCCAAAUCAUGGUCUUUUUUUUGGUCCUAGUUCGUGACAAAUCACCCACAUCCAAAAUAAGGGCACAAAUGUUAUCAUGGUUCCAUGAGAUGCUGUAAUCUCAAUUUUAGGUGCUCUUUUUUACGUGAAAGAAUCUAUCUGAAGAAUAUCAUAUAUAUGGUAUAUAUGAUUUAUGCUCCCAUGUGUGCAAUUUUGAUACUUUGUUUUAUUCUUUCUGUUUUCAAUUGCGGUCAAAGAAGCUGGCUUCAAGAGAGAAAACACAUCUAAUAAAUGAUUUGAAAUUAA
Molecule: long non-coding RNA, 4414 nt
Organism: Oncorhynchus tshawytscha (Chinook salmon)
Lineage: Eukaryota; Metazoa; Chordata; Actinopteri; Salmoniformes; Salmonidae
Source: Ensembl